Molecule: ribosomal RNA, 323 nt
Filed under: uncultured Allantion
Lineage: Eukaryota; Cercozoa; Glissomonadida
Also listed under: 1 other name
Description: SSU rRNA
Rfam family: Eukaryotic small subunit ribosomal RNA (bases 62-323)
Source: RNAcentral
GAUUUCUGGCUUGAUAUAUUUUGCCGGCCACGGUUUCGUGUGUUAGUGCUUGAUAUUCUGGCCAUCCUUCCAAUGGCUAUUCAUCCUUCUUCAUUGAAGGUGUGAGUGGUAUUGGAUCUUUUACUUUGAAAAAAUUAGAGUGUUUCAAGCAGGCUUUAUGCUAUGAAUACAUUAGCAUGGAAUAAUAAUUUAGGACUUCGGUUCUAUUUUGUUGGUUUCUAGGACUGAAGUAAUGAUUGAUAGGGAUAGUUGGGGGUGCUAGUAUUCAGCGGCCAGAGGUGAAAUUCUCGGAUUCGCUGAAGACUAACUUAUGCGAAAGCAUU